Molecule: ribosomal RNA, 413 nt
Filed under: uncultured prokaryote
Description: bacterial SSU rRNA
Rfam family: Bacterial small subunit ribosomal RNA
Source: RNAcentral
GUGUCAGCCGCCGCGGUACGACGAACUGUGCGAACGUUAUUCGGAAUCACUGGGCUUACAGGGUGCGUAGGCGGCCUGUUAAGUAGGGUGUGAAAUCCCCCGGCCCAACCGGGGAAUUGCGCUCUAAACUAGCAGGCUUGAGUAAGCUAGGGGUGCACGGAACUUCCAGUGGAGCGGUGAAAUGUGUUGAUAUUGGAAGGAACACCGGAGGCGAAAGCGGUGCACGGGGGCUUAACUGACGCUGAGGCACGAAAGCCAGGGGAGCGAACGGGAUUAGAUACCCCGGUAGUCCUGGCCGUAAACGAUGAGCACUAGGCGGGAGAGGGUUCGCCCUUUCCGGCCGUAGCGAAAGCGUUAAGUGCUCCGCCUGGGGAGUACGGCCGCAAGGUUAAAACUUAAAUGAAUUGGCGGGG